RNAcentral lists this long non-coding RNA (433 nucleotides) under Olea europaea (common olive). RNAcentral describes it as "long non-coding RNA (OEUR_LNC013590)". The record is from RNAcentral. Lineage: Eukaryota; Viridiplantae; Streptophyta; Magnoliopsida; Lamiales; Oleaceae.
CUGUCUCAAGGUGAAGUUAAUCUUGUUAAAAUUCACACUGAUAGGAAUCCCUCUGAUAUGGGAACAAAAAUUCUACCUGCAAGUAAAUUUAAAUUGUGCUUAUCUUUAUUACAUAUUGACACUGAUUAAUUUUUCUUGCAGGUAGUGGGCGAUGAUGAUGAACAGUUCUUCCAUGUGCAAAUUCGCAACCAAGAGAGAGUGUUAGGAGAACCAAGGUGAAGAAUGUGAGAAUAUGGUUCACCUAACACUAUCAACUUGUGACUUGAUGGUAUUGAUGUUGACACAAUAAGGUCUUCCCACGUUUUUGGCAGAGGCAUGGUCUUUCCUUCUUAUGUAGACUUACCCUCUACCGUUUUUGAGAGGAGCAGCUCUCGAUUUUUCUCCCAGAAGAAAGUGAGCUCUCGAUUUUUUAGCAAAGGGUGGUGGUUCUUCA